ACAUCGACACUUUGAACGCAUAUUGCGGCCAAGGGUCCGUCCUUUGGCCACGCCCGUCUGAGGGUCGGC
RNAcentral lists this ribosomal RNA (69 nucleotides) under Conus aulicus. RNAcentral's name for it is "partial 5.8S ribosomal RNA". It matches the Rfam family "5.8S ribosomal RNA", at positions 89 to 154 of the family's 154-position model. Rfam says of the family: 5.8S ribosomal RNA (5.8S rRNA) is a component of the large subunit of the eukaryotic ribosome. It is transcribed by RNA polymerase I as part of the 45S precursor that also contains 18S and 28S rRNA. The record is from RNAcentral. RNAcentral also lists the same sequence under 2 other names. Lineage: Eukaryota; Metazoa; Mollusca; Gastropoda; Neogastropoda; Conidae.